RNAcentral lists this unclassified non-coding RNA (286 nucleotides) under Hevea brasiliensis (rubber tree). The record is from RNAcentral. Lineage: Eukaryota; Viridiplantae; Streptophyta; Magnoliopsida; Malpighiales; Euphorbiaceae.
UUUCUUUUACACCAAGUCUGAGCACGUCUGCACACCUAUCAAAAGUCAGUUGCUUAACUUGCACGAGAAUAGCUUUGCUAUGAUGAGACGCUAGCUAUGAAAAUUAGAUCAAAAGCCAUUCAUCUUUGAUCCGCAUCUGGUAAUCCAUAGCAAAAAAUAAAUUUGCCAAAGAGACAUACUUCUGCAAAGCCAGUAAAAUGUCACCCAAGCUAACACAGGUGGUGGACAAAAUCUGAUUUAGCUGAAGACAAGAGAGAUGGAGAAAUUGAUAAAAUCUUCCACUGCG